AACGAACGCUGGCGGCAUGCCUAACACAUGCAAGUCGAACGAGACCUCCGGGUCUAGUGGCGCACGGGUGCGUAACGCGUGGGAACUUGCCCUUAGGUACGGUAUAACUCACCGAAAGGGGUGCUAAUACCGGAUAAUGUCUUCGGACCAAAGAUUUAUCGCCUUUGGAUGGGCCCGCGUUGGAUUAGCUGGUUGGUAGGGUAAAAGCCUACCAAGGCGACGAUCCAUAGCUGGUCUGGGAGGAUGAUCCGCCACACUGGGACUGAGACACGGCCCAGACUCCUACGGGAGGCAGCAGUGGGGAAUAUUGGACGAUGGGCGAAAGCCUGAUCCAGCCAUGCCGCGUGAGUGAUGAAGGCCUUAGGGUUGUGAAGCUCUUUUACCCGGGAUGAUAAUGACAGUACCGGGAGAAUAAGCUCCGGCUAACUCCGUG
This 433-nucleotide ribosomal RNA is filed under the name uncultured bacterium. RNAcentral describes it as "partial 16S ribosomal RNA". It matches the Rfam family "Bacterial small subunit ribosomal RNA", at positions 29 to 507 of the family's 1533-position model. The record is from RNAcentral.